AAAAACUUAGUUAAAAACAUAACAUUAACUUGUCAAGUUAAAAUUAAUUAAAUUUAGUUUUUA
RNAcentral lists this transfer RNA (63 nucleotides) under Anaedus unidentatus. RNAcentral's name for it is "tRNA-Asp". Lineage: Eukaryota; Metazoa; Arthropoda; Insecta; Coleoptera; Tenebrionidae. The record is from RNAcentral.